Molecule: long non-coding RNA, 1705 nt
Organism: Gasterosteus aculeatus aculeatus (three-spined stickleback)
Lineage: Eukaryota; Metazoa; Chordata; Actinopteri; Perciformes; Gasterosteidae
Source: Ensembl
GGGGGGGGGGGGGCUCAGGUGUGUUCAUGAGAGGCCUCGGUGCUGAUUAUCUCCCCUCCGGUGCGUCACCCGCGUCUGUUCUUUCCGCUCAGGGACUCUACUUCCUGUCAUGUCAGCUGAGCGCUUGCAUGAGGGCGACAUGAGCCCGCUGCGCCUUCCUCCAUUGUUCCUCCGUUCUGGCGUUUUCUAUUUUUUUCACCUUUUUAUCACAUGACAUUCAUGCAAUGAGCUGCAGGAUGACUUACACCUGAUGCUGCGCAGUAAGGUAUGAGAAUUACUUAGAAUUACUUUUUACAUUUAGAAAAAGAUCUUCAAAAGUUGAAAAUGUAAAAAGAAGAUUAAAUAAAUAAUCCAAAUGAAUGAUUAUAAAACAGAAUUUCAGAAUUUGAAGUUAUAAUAAAUACAUUUUAUGAACACAGAGUUGUUUACGCUCAGUAAGAUCACAUUUGUGAGAUGACGGUUAGCUCACUCUUAUUGUAAUAAAAAAUAAAAAAACCUCCAUUCUGUGCAUCAGACCGCGACACUUAGCUUCCUUAGCAACCACUCAAGGUAGAAAUGAGACCACUCUCUAAUUAAUCCAAAUCACAAGAGCAUCUUCAUCGGCCAGCGAUAUUCCUUCUAUUCACCAGAACGUCAUUACGUGUUCAUGCUGAUACUAUUAAUAAGACACGGCAUUAUCUGAUGAUUUUAAUACGUAUUUCACAACAAAUAUAAGAUGUACAAAUCCCAGCGUCUGACCUGCAGGCACCACUACCUGCCUGUGCUGCUCCUGUGAGCAAUAAAGUCAACCUUUAAUGGGAAAUAUUCAGCCUUCUGAUGUCAGCAGGAGAAGCUAAAAACGCCGGUCGUGCAGAAAAAGGUCAGCGGCUUGUUGUUUAUUUGCGGAUAUCAGACCUGCAAAAAAAAACCGUGUGACCUCUGAGGCCUCCGAUGGAGCCGGGAGCGCCGAGCGCUGGGACCAGGAUGCUUCUGAAGGACGCCGUUUCCUAAUCAGCUUCCUCGCCGGGGUUCAUUAUGCAGCCGGCGGGACACGGCGAUGAGCUCAAGUCAAACGGCGUACGGAUGGAAGAUAAACCUUUAAACCCCCGACGCGGGUCAUACUGAGCGCCGUGGCCUCUGAUCCGCCACCCGACAGCCGGGCGAGAUCCUCCCCAAGGCACAUUUCAGAGUUUCUGUCCGAUGCCCUUCAUGACCACACCGCCGUGCUGCUGUGCUGUCAUGUCAGUCCUUUGCCUUCGUGUCGAGUUGCGGCUGCGAGGACGGCUCCUCGUCGCUCUACUGGUCGGCCGCUGUGACCAGUUCAAACCACUGCCUGAGUGCGUCGCUCAGGGUCUCCGGCAAGGCGUUGACGUCGCGCAGGAUGACGUAGAAGGGGAAGGGGAACUCCUCCAUGUAGGAGCGGAUCUCGGGCAGCUCUCCGGGCCCUUUGAAGAUGGGCACCUUGAUGUCCAGGAUGGAGUCCUGCGGCGCAGCACCGAGCUUACGGUUACACUGUGUCCGGAGGACAUUCGGGGCCCAGUACAUCAUUUCAUUUCAUUUCUCUUACCCGGGAGUUCGGGUUGUCGAGCGCCACGAACAUGAUGAACACGUUGGCGCUGCGUGCGGCGCGCACGGCCGCCAUCACCCGCUCCUUCCCCUCCAGGAACAAGCCGCGCCCGUCGGACACGAUGACCAGCAGCUGGGCGGUCUCUGUGGAGAGAGAGAG